RNAcentral lists this ribosomal RNA (459 nucleotides) under uncultured bacterium. RNAcentral's name for it is "bacterial SSU rRNA". It matches the Rfam family "Bacterial small subunit ribosomal RNA", at positions 29 to 530 of the family's 1533-position model. The record is from RNAcentral.
AACGAACGCUGGCGGCAGGCUUAACACAUGCAAGUCGAACGCCCCGCAAGGGGAGUGGCAGACGGGUGAGUAACGCGUGGGAACGUACCUUUCAGUUCGGAAUAACUCAGGGAAACUUGUGCUAAUACCGGAUACGCCCGCAAGGGGAAAGAUUUAUCGCUGAAAAGAUCGGCCCGCGUUGGAUUAGCUAGUUGGUGGGGUAAAGCCUACCAAGGCGACGAUCCAUAGCUGGUCUGAGAGGAUGAUCAGCCACACUGGGACUGAGACACGGCCCAGACUCCUACGGGAGGCAGCAGUGGGGAAUAUGGACAAUGGGCGCAAGCCUGAUCCAGCCAUGCCGCGUGUGUGAUGAAGGCCUUAGGGUUGUAAAGCACUUUCACCGAUGAAGAUAAUGACGGUAGUCGGAGAAGAAGCCCCGGCUAAACUUCGUGCCAGCAGCCGCGGUAAAAGUACUCUAAU